This is a long non-coding RNA of Pezoporus flaviventris, 1498 nucleotides long. RefSeq lists it as uncharacterized. The record is from RefSeq and is a predicted model, not a curated record. The transcript has 5 exons. Lineage: Eukaryota; Metazoa; Chordata; Aves; Psittaciformes; Psittacidae.
CUCACCUUUGGGUGGGAUGCUGGGUGUGGGAUUGGAGUUGUUGGGCUCCUUGCUUUGGGUUCCUGCUCAGUGUCUGUAGCACUAGGAAAAGCAAAACCCAUUAAUGGUGCAGUUUGUGACACAACUGAAGGCUUCUCUAAUGGGCAGCUCUCCCGCAAUCCCACUGUGCUCUGGCUUCAGAGGAAUUUGCUUGGCGUUGUGGUGCUCAGCUUCUCCCCCUCCAUUUCCCAAGCUCCAGAGACCAAUCCUUCCUUCGGCUGGUUUUGCUGCUGCUAUGGCAAUAUUUUCUCCCCCAUAGUGGUAAUCAUGCAAUGGUCUCUGAGAACAGCAGGAGAAGCGGUGCCUGUUAGAUGCAUAAAAGGGAUACAGUUUGGAAGACAUAACAGGCUGCUGGAGAUCUGAAUGCUUAUAAGCCUGACUCUGUCCUGUGCGUGUGCCCAAUGUAGCAGCAAAGGUGUGGAUUCCCUGGGUGAAUCACUGGGGAAACGUGGCACUUGUUGGCAGGGAAAAGGAAACACCAGUGGGAGCUGGCACGCGGCAGGGGCAGACCUGUGUGAAGAGUGAUGAACUAUAUGGAUGCUCAGAAGGCUCCGGAUCAGGCUUUGGGCUUGUCCUGUGUGAAGAAAAGCCCAUCUUGCCAUGCUCUGCUUGUCCUGGGCGCAGCCUCUGCUGCCCCAGUCCCCAUCCCUGCUACGCCACCACCUCUGAGAGUCAAGAGUUGGGAGCUGUGGUUGGAAAGGAACAGGACCUGUUACUGCAAACUGCUGGCUAGGAGGAGGAUGCUGCAGCAGGGUUACAAGCAGGGAUGGCUUCGUGCACUGCACUGUGGCAGCACCAGCUGCCUUUUCCUGAUGGCACCAGGUACCCGGGGCUCCAGAGCCAACUGCAUUUGCCCAUCCUAUUGCCAGUGAUUAAUUCCAUCAAAGAUGCUUUUUCUGUGCUCACUACAACUGUGUCCCGUCAGCCUCAGGUACUGGGCACUUGCUGACCUGUCUGCUGGCUCUGUCUUUGCCUUCCUAUCCCAGAGUCAGCAGGGUGAGCUGCUCGUCCUGGCAGCAUCCCAUUGCUGCCCAUUGUGAGGCAGACAGACAGAGCAGCAGCAGGAACCAAUUGUUCUAAACAGAUUUACCAGCUAGAAAGUUCCUUGCAAGAAAAAUAGAGCAGUGAGGGGCACAUGGUCCCGAGGAAGAAACAGGCUUAACUCCCCUGAGCCCUCCCUGCCCUGACAUGGCCCGGGUUUCUAAGCAGAUCAGAGUAAAAACCUCCUGUAGCUGGGUAAUUCCGCCUCUUUCCGAUAAGCCGGUAACCCCAUUAAUAGAGAGUCUGGCAUGGAGGGAGCUGUGCUGGGAAAGCGCUGCACCUCACCCUACACAGCAGAUUAAAAAGGACUUAAUCACAGAGCAGCCACAAAGUGCACUACAUGGCAUUAUUCCUCUGAAAUAAAAUUUUAUACACAGCCUAUCUGAGAGCGGCACAAAAUAAAUACUUUUAAAAUCUA